CGUGCAUUGAGACGUGUGUGUCCAUGGCGCUCGUGUUUUGCUCACAUGUGACUGCCACGAUGAACGGGCAGCAACAUUCUAUCCCACCAGCAAUCAUUAACUUUGAUGCACAGGCGGACGUUAUUAGGUACGCUCGGCCGUGUGAUUUACUUAUCGUAAAGAGAACAGAGGAGCUACCGUAAUGAACUUCAAGUGGAUCCGAGGCACGUCUCUCCGCUGCGGGGGCAGAGGAGAUGCAAGCUGAAUAUCCGCAGGCACGACGGAGGAGGAAGAGGAGGAGAGAAGAUGAAGAGAGCAGUUUGAGGAGAUGGCGGAGAAAGAGACGAGGAGGGAGAGGAUGGGAAGGGAAGGAGAGCAAUUAUUGGCUUCUGCUGCAGCCAACUCUGAUGUUUUGACAGUCAGCCACUGCUGGAGGGAGACGGGCCAAGCGCUGAUGAUGAUGAAUGAUGACACUGAGGCUGGAGAGGUUCACACAGUCUUUACAGUCUUUUAUUGGUGAAGAUACAGUAUGGAGAGCCACAGGGUAUCCUUCCAGGCCCAUCGGGAUUCCAUAUAGCCUCGCUUUUGACUUCUUGAGAGUCUGAACUAAGCAAAUUUUCAUGUUGGGAUAAGGCCAAAAUAUGGGGAAAAAAAAGGAGGGGGAGCAGGAGCAUGUUGCGAAGCAAAGUGCAGUGACAUCUACACAUAUAUAUGCACUUCUGUGUCUAAAUAGUUUAGAAGGGGCCAAAAAAUCUCUAUAAUUCAUCAUAAAUCAACACAACAGAUAUCACACUGCAUGUACCCAUCACAAGUAUCCCUGCAAUAAUUCAUUUUUUUCCUCCCUGGUUAUUGUGCACUUGUUGCUAGGCAGGAUUCCUGGAGACAAAUAACUUGAACGUCAUAGACCAGUGAUCCUCAAAGUGUGGUCCAAAUAGCACUAAUGGUGCAUGAAAGACUGAAUUUAAAAAAGAAAUAUUAACAUUUAAAAUGUUCCAAAUCAAACAUAUAAGAAUGAAGCAUGUAGUUACAAACACGGCCCAUUUAACCUUUUAAUCCAGUAGGGUAAUUUUUAUUUUAUUUUACCUUAACUAAAGUGCCUUUUUAAAACUAAAAGCAAUGUAAUGGUUAAUAUUAUUAUUGUUGUUUACAUCAAUGUUAACCCUGCCCGGUGUUAACACUACAUAUUAUUUAUGUGCAAUUUGUAGUUAUCUAACAUGUUUUGUCAUUGUGAGUUAUUGGUGACGUGUUACUUGUUAUGUACUGGGAAACAAAAUACAAGAAAAUCACAGAAUACAAUGUAUUGCACUCGCAAGCAAUCAAGUGGAAUCAACAAGGUUCAAAAGGGGAACUGGUGGAUGAACAUGACGAUAAACACGUACGUCGGUUACUAAGGCGACCUUGUGCUGAACACUCUUAAAAUAGGCCUUUCUUGCCUUUGAGAAAUAAUCCCAAUAAUGCACAGUGCAAAUUGUUCUUGGGAGAGCUCUGACAAGGGAAAUGUGACCUUUGAACAGAGCUACCUUAAUCAUACUGGGCUUGAUUGCCUUCAAACUUAACAUGGAUCUCACAAA
This is a long non-coding RNA of Syngnathus typhle (broad-nosed pipefish), 1550 nucleotides long. RefSeq lists it as uncharacterized. The transcript is spliced from 2 exons. The record is from RefSeq and is a predicted model, not a curated record. Lineage: Eukaryota; Metazoa; Chordata; Actinopteri; Syngnathiformes; Syngnathidae.